RNAcentral lists this transfer RNA (74 nucleotides) under Methanopyrus kandleri AV19. It matches the Rfam family "tRNA". Rfam says of the family: Transfer RNA (tRNA) molecules are approximately 80 nucleotides in length. Their secondary structure includes four short double-helical elements and three loops (D, anti-codon, and T loops). Lineage: Archaea; Methanobacteriati; Methanobacteriota; Methanopyri; Methanopyrales; Methanopyraceae. The record is from Rfam by way of RNAcentral.
GGGCCCGCAGCUCAGUCUGGCAGAGCGCGGCCCUUGCGAGGCCGUGGCCCCGGGUUCAAAUCCCGGCGGGUCCA